GGGCAGUUCUUGUUGUUUUUUCCCCCGACGUGAAGGAGGUGCCGAGCCCCCCCAGAGCGAGCCCCACUCUCCUCGGCCUGCCCCUCCCCUCCCCCGCUCCGGCAGGCCGCCAUGCUUCAGCCUCAGUUCCAGUUUUAUGAUUAAACAUCCCGGCGUCAAUUAUUUACAAUACUGCCAGAUGAAUAUCAGGGCUGCAGAGGCCUGCUGAGUCACAUGGGGGAAGCUGGUUUUUCUGGAGGGGAAAGGACACGGAGGACAAUAAGGAAUCUGCCUCCUGCCCACAGGGACCAAGGCGGGUCCUCCCUCGAGGCUGGAGCAUGAAGCAUUGUCCUCAGGCCUUUCGGGAGCCGCCCAGGUAACCACAGGUGAGCCCCUCUCUUAGCUGCUUCACGAUUCUUCUUGAAAACCUGGGCCCCGGGUCCCUCCCUUCACCCGUGGGACGACCUUGACCAUGAGCCAUGGAAGGUCCAAGGCCAGGGUCCGGAGGUGCACUUGGCGGAGCUGGGACCCCUCGGGUCCUGAAGCAGCCCCCAGGCUGUUUUGGGAACAUGUCAGACCCAACAUGGUCCAAAUCCUUCGUGCACAAAAUUAGCUUCUUUCCAUCGUUUUCAAAGGGAAAGAACGCCACACACUAAAUAUAACGCGGGCCUGCGAGCCAGAAACAAAGAUAAAUAGCCAGGCUGCACCUCAGGGAGCCGGGUGUUCACAUCCCCCUCCCCCCAGUCCCGAGAGGCCAGCGGGACCCUGGCUCCGGGGGCAGAGCCACCGACCAGCCACCUGAGGCUGCCGCUGGCCACAUCCCCCUGCCGUGAGCCCCCAGAGCAGAACCCUUAUUUCACUUUCCUUUUCAAAAAGCAACACGUGCACAUUUCUGGGGUUUUCCCUGAGUCUCAUUUUGGCCGUGAGAAAAAGGAAGGAAAAACCAAGCUAAUCCCAUCACGCAGAGAAAAUAACUGUAAACAUCACGGUGUGUGUAAUCCAGGGUUUUGCAAUGCACUGUGACACGUUGAGUCACCGGUGUUUCUCAACCUCUCUUUCCCAUUGUCCCCGAAGGACUCUUUAUAAACUCUCUUUUGGGGAUGCUCCCAGACUCCCCAACCCCCCCACCCCCACUCCUUCCCGACCACAUGGAAUUUUAAUACCUCGGAGGCACUGUUGGUUUAUGGGCCACAGACCACUCAGGUGUCUAAGAUUAUGACACCAUCCCCCCCAAAACCAGUCCUUCCCCUUGUGGGUGAUCUCACUCCAUUCAGAAUGCAGACUCUAUACAGUAUUUAAUAACAAAGCUUUUCUAUAAGAACUUACUGCAUGCUGGUGACCUCCUGUCCCGGGUGCUUUUACUUAACGUUAACUCCCCCUACGAUAGGAGGGCCAGCGAGCUUAUCUCCAUUUCACCGUUGUGGAAGUUGAGGCACAGAAAGGUUAAGUAACUUGUCCAAAGUCACACAGCUAGGAAGGCACAGAGGGAGGAUCUGAGAGCACAGGCAUCCUGGCUCCAACGUCCACACUUAACCACCCAGCUGUGUUGCCUUGUAACAACGCAUUCUGAUUGUAAAAA
Pipistrellus kuhlii (Kuhl's pipistrelle) is the source of this 1558-nucleotide long non-coding RNA. RefSeq lists it as uncharacterized. NCBI's taxonomy places the organism in Eukaryota, Metazoa, Chordata, Mammalia, Chiroptera, Vespertilionidae. The record is from RefSeq and is a predicted model, not a curated record. The transcript is spliced from 2 exons.